GGGAGGUAUAAUUAAGAACUAACGGAGAUCAAUAGCAUAUAUUUCUAAUAGCCUGCAAGUGACUAGAUCUUUAGUUAUGGGUGAUCAGCAUUAUAUGCACAACUUUUCAUUCAUGACCAACUCAUGGUUUGACUUAUACAUAAAGCUCUAAUUGUGGGUAUGAUAUAGGUAAGUUAGUCUAUUUCAACUUUCCUCUCGAGUCUGCUAAUAUUU
Molecule: long non-coding RNA, 213 nt
Filed under: Elaeis guineensis (African oil palm)
Lineage: Eukaryota; Viridiplantae; Streptophyta; Magnoliopsida; Arecales; Arecaceae
Description: long non-coding RNA (EGUI_LNC080307)
Source: RNAcentral